Molecule: transfer RNA, 75 nt
Filed under: Thermoplasmata archaeon
Lineage: Archaea; Methanobacteriati; Thermoplasmatota; Thermoplasmata
Also listed under: 1 other name
Description: tRNA-Met
Rfam family: tRNA
About the family: Transfer RNA (tRNA) molecules are approximately 80 nucleotides in length. Their secondary structure includes four short double-helical elements and three loops (D, anti-codon, and T loops).
Source: RNAcentral
GUCGGGGUGGCUCAGACUGGUUAGAGCGCCUGACUCAUAAUCAGGAGGUCGCGGGUUCAAAUCCCGCCCCCGACA